GCCUGAUGCUGAAACAGUUCCAGCUAAGCCCCUGAGAUGGAGUAGUCUUUAUGAGGAUUUUCCCUCAAACAACAUGGGUCAUAUCCUACGCAUGGCUUCUUAUCCAUGGACUUCUGUACAUGUCUUCACACAAGUUCUCCACGAGGGUCUACCAACCAUGCUUAAGCCCUACAUGAUUUCUCCUGACAUCUUGAGGAUGCCUGUGACCAGUGACCUCACCUUCAACAUAGGAGAGAGAAGUGGCAUUAUAGAAAACAAAGAUGAGAAAAGAAGCCAAAUUAGACCAAGUGUGUGCAGAGGAAAACUCAGCUGA
RNAcentral lists this long non-coding RNA (313 nucleotides) under Vombatus ursinus (common wombat). RNAcentral's name for it is "lncRNA (ENSVURG00010023261.1)". The record is from RNAcentral. Lineage: Eukaryota; Metazoa; Chordata; Mammalia; Diprotodontia; Vombatidae.